CCGGCGCACGGUGAGUAACACGUAUCCAACCUGCCGUCUACUCUUGGACAGCCUUCUGAAGGAAGAUUAAUACAAGAUGGCAUCAUGAGUCCGCAUGUUCACAUGAUUAAAGGUAUUCCGGUAGACGAUGGGGAUGCGUUCCAUUAGAUAGUAGGCGGGGUAACGGCCCACCUAGUCUUCGAUGGAUAGGGGUUCUGAGAGGAAGGUCCCCCACAUUGGAACUGAGACACGGUCCAAACUCCUACGGGAGGCAGCAUG
Molecule: ribosomal RNA, 258 nt
Filed under: uncultured bacterium
Lineage: Bacteria
Description: partial 16S ribosomal RNA
Rfam family: Bacterial small subunit ribosomal RNA
Source: RNAcentral